GAGCACUUCAGUUUGGACGUCAGUACUUUCAUGAGGGAAAGAUGAAGGAAUUUUUUUUGUUUGAAUCCUGCCUCCGUCGCUCACACAGUGUGACCUAGAGCAAGUUCUCUCUUGCUGGAGCCUGCUUCCUGCUUGGCAAACAGGAUGAUCACACCCGAACCUACCUCAUCGCGUCUCUGUGAGUGUCUAAACAAGCGUGACUGGGUUUAACAUUUGUGUGGACGGGCUCAGGGCUGGUGUGUGUGAGCAGGGUGGGUUCAGGAGCAGGAGGCAGGGUUCAGCCCAGUGCCCAGUCAUGCAAAUGGCCCGAGGUGUGGAGAGGGAGGUGGCUCUGGGGUUAGGAAAGUUGAGUUCAGAUUUUGAGAUGAGGGAACUGAAGAAAUAACUUUCCCAGGGCCACACCCUCAGAUAGGCAAGGCACCAACCCCAAAAUUUGGGAACGAAUUUAAUGUGUAAUAAUAUAUGGGGAGGCCCUGAAGUUGAAUCGUGAGACCAAAAUCAGAACUCUGUGGGAUCCCUUUAUCAUUACUGUGUGGUUUUCGUGUAGCUUUUGCUCUGAGGGCUUCUGAAAGUUUUGCACACAGAGAUACACACACCGUCCUGUUAAGACCCGCAUUCCCAAAGCGCCCUCAUAGCCCAAGAAGACACAGGACAAGCUAAAGAGCAAGGGGAAGGAGAGCCAUCCAGGGACGAGUCUGGAAGUUAAGCGACUUGGGCUCUUUCCUCUCGGGGCUCUACACUGGCUUUUGAAGCCCGCUUUUCCCAUCUGCAAAACGACGCUGUUCGAUCCAGGGCUCCUGGAGGCCUUGGAAAGCCUUGCACGGCUUCCCUUGGACCUUCCCGACUGCCUCAGCCUCAGGGCUCUCCCAAGCCUGUGACUGCCCCAUUUCAGCUUUAUUUUCUUACCACCUUCUGGAUUUAUCUAAGCCUUGUUGCUGCCGUUGAUUUCUGUCUAGACCGUAGUCUACUGCUGCCUGCUCUAGGGAAAGUAGGGACUCGUGAGCUUACGAGAGCUGCUGUGACCAUGACCACGGCGGUUGUAACAGUUGCUUGAUGUGUAUCAGCGAACAAACAAUUGGAAUAAAAGUGAAGGGCCGAGAACACAGCCCUGAACCCUCUGAA
Molecule: long non-coding RNA, 1122 nt
Organism: Apodemus sylvaticus (European woodmouse)
Lineage: Eukaryota; Metazoa; Chordata; Mammalia; Rodentia; Muridae
Exons: 2
Source: RefSeq, a predicted model, not a curated record